This 279-nucleotide ribosomal RNA is filed under the name uncultured bacterium. RNAcentral's name for it is "partial 16S ribosomal RNA". It matches the Rfam family "Bacterial small subunit ribosomal RNA", at positions 506 to 784 of the family's 1533-position model. The record is from RNAcentral.
UGCCAGCAGCCGCGGUAAUACAGAGGAUGCAAGCGUUAUCCGGAAUCACUGGGCGUAAAGCGCGCGUAGGCGGUUUAAUAAGUUGUAUGUGAAAGCCCUGGGCUCAACCUAGGAACUGCAUACAAAACUAUUAAGCUUGAGGACGAGAGAGGAGAGUAGAAUUUCAGGCGUAGCGGUGAAAUGCGUAGAUAUCUGAAGGAAUACCAAUGGCGAAGGCAGCUCUCUGGCUCGUUUCUGACGCUAAGGUGCGAAAGCGUGGGUAGCAAACAGGAUUAGAUA